AACGAACGCUGGCGGCAGGCUUAACACAUGCAAGUCGAGCGCCCCGCAAGGGGAGCGGCAGACGGGUGAGUAACGCGUGGGAAUCUACCCAUCCCUACGGAAUAGCUCCGGGAAACUGGAAUUAAUACCGUAUACGCACUACGGGGGAAAGAUUUAUCGGGGAUGGAUGAGCCCGCGUCGGAAUAGCUAGUUGGUGGGGUAAAGGCCUACCAAGGCGACGAUCCAUAGUUGGUCUGAGAGGAUGAUCAGCCACAUUUGGACUGAGACACGGCCCAGACUCCUACGGGAGGCAGCAGUGGGGAAUAUUGGACAAUGGGGGCAACCCUGAUCCAGCCAUGCCGCGUGAGUGAUGAAGGCCUUAGGGUUGUAAAGCUCUUUCACCGGGGAAGAUAAUGACGGUACCCGGAGAAGAAGCCCCGGCUAACUUCGUGCCAGCCGCCGCGGUAA
RNAcentral lists this ribosomal RNA (447 nucleotides) under uncultured bacterium. RNAcentral's name for it is "partial 16S ribosomal RNA". It matches the Rfam family "Bacterial small subunit ribosomal RNA", at positions 29 to 523 of the family's 1533-position model. The record is from RNAcentral.